AGUGAACGCUGGCGGUAGGCCUAACACAUGCAAGUCGAACGGCAGCACAGGAGAGCUUGCUCUCUGGGUGGCGAGUGGCGGACGGGUGAGGAAUACAUCGGAAUCUACUCUGUCGUGGGGGAUAACGUAGGGAAACUUACGCUAAUACCGCAUACGACCUACGGGUGAAAGCAGGGGACCUUCGGGCCUUGCGCGAUUGAAUGAGCCGAUGUCGGAUUAGCUAGUUGGCGGGGUAAAGGCCCACCAAGGCGACGAUCCAUAGCUGGUCUGAGAGGAUGAUCAGCCACACUGGAACUGAGACACGGGCCAGACUCCUACGGGAGGCAGCAGUGGGGAAUACUGGACAAUGGGCGCAAGCCUGAUCCAGCCAUACCGCGUGGGUGAAGAAGGCCUUCGGGUUGUAAAGCCCUUUUGUUGGGAAAGAAAUCCAGCUGGCUAAUACCCGGUUGGGAUGACGGUACCCAAAGAAUAAGCACCGGCUAACUUCGUGCCAGCCGCCGCAGUAA
This 506-nucleotide ribosomal RNA is filed under the name uncultured bacterium. RNAcentral describes it as "partial 16S ribosomal RNA". It matches the Rfam family "Bacterial small subunit ribosomal RNA", at positions 29 to 523 of the family's 1533-position model. The record is from RNAcentral.